Molecule: ribosomal RNA, 1559 nt
Filed under: Bacillus sp. P4(2013)
Lineage: Bacteria; Bacillati; Bacillota; Bacilli; Caryophanales; Bacillaceae
Description: bacterial SSU rRNA
Rfam family: Bacterial small subunit ribosomal RNA
Source: RNAcentral
GCUUCCUUUUUUUCCCGGGGCCUUUUUUUAAAUUUUUUAUAACGCUCAGGACGAACGCUGGCGGCGUGCCUAAUACAUGCAAGUCGAGCGAAUCUGAGGGAGCUUGCUCCCAAAGAUUAGCGGCGGACGGGUGAGUAACACGUGGGCAACCUGCCUGUAAGACUGGGAUAACUCCGGGAAACCGGGGCUAAUACCGGAUAAUAUCUAUUUAUACAUAUAAUUAGAUUGAAAGAUGGUUCUGCUAUCACUUACAGAUGGGCCCGCGGCGCAUUAGCUAGUUGGUGAGGUAACGGCUCACCAAGGCGACGAUGCGUAGCCGACCUGAGAGGGUGAUCGGCCACACUGGGACUGAGACACGGCCCAGACUCCUACGGGAGGCAGCAGUAGGGAAUCUUCCGCAAUGGACGAAAGUCUGACGGAGCAACGCCGCGUGAGUGAUGAAGGUUUUCGGAUCGUAAAACUCUGUUGUUAGGGAAGAACAAGUACCGGAGUAACUGCCGGUACCUUGACGGUACCUAACCAGAAAGCCACGGCUAACUACGUGCCAGCAGCCGCGGUAAUACGUAGGGGCCAACCGUUCUCCGGAAUUAUUGGGCGUAAAGCGCGCGCAGGCGGUUCCUUAAGUCUGAUGUGAAAGCCCACGCGCUCAACCGAUGGAGGGUCAUUAGGAAACUGGGGAACUUGAGUGCAGAAGAGGAAAGUGGAAUUCCAAGUGUAGCGGUGAAAUGCGUAGAGAUUUGGAGGAACACCAGUGGCGAAGGCGACUUUCUGGUCUGUAACUGACGCUGAGGCGCGAAAACACGCCCAGCAAACAGGAUUAGAUACCCUGGUAGUCCACGCCGUAAACGAUGAGUGCUAAGUGUUAGAGGGUUUCCGCCCUUUAGUGCUGCAGCAAACGCAUUAAGCACUCCGCCUGGGGAGUACGACCGCAAGGUUGAAACUCAAAGGAAUUGACGGGGGCCCGCACAAGCGGUGGAGCAUGUGGUUUAAUUCGAAGCAACGCGAAGAACCUUACCAGGUCUUGACAUCCUCUGACAAUCCUAGAGAUAGGACUUUCCCCUUCGGGGGACAGAGUGACAGGUGGUGCAUGGUUGUCGUCAGCUCGUGUCGUGAGAUGUUGGGUUAAGUCCCGCAACGAGCGCAACCCUUGAUCUUAGUUGCCAGCAUUCAGUUGGGCACUCUAAGGUGACUGCCGGUGACAAACCGGAGGAAGGUGGGGAUGACGUCAAAUCAUCAUGCCCCUUAUGACCUGGGCUACACACGUGCUACAAUGGAUGGUACAAAGGGCUGCAAGACCGCGAGGUUUAGCCAAUCCCAUAAAACCAUUCUCAGUUCGGAUUGUAGGCUGCAACUCGCCUACAUGAAGCCGGAAUCGCUAGUAAUCGCGGAUCAGCAUGCCGCGGGUGAAUACGUUCCCGGGCCUUGUACACACCGCCCGUCACACCACGAGAGUUUGUAACACCCGAAGUCGGUGGGGUAACCUUUUGGAGCCAGCCGCCUAAGGUGGGACAGAUGAUUGGGGUGAAGUCUAAGGGGGGUAACCCGAAAAAGGAGGGAGG